UUUGAGGGUACUAUAGGUAAUUUUGUAUCUGAAGCUUUGAGACAUGAUGCACGCUCCCACAAUGUGAGUUCUUUAUCUUUCUUUUUCUAUUUCUCUUUAAUCGUUCACUCUUUCUGUAAAUUUCUUGUGUAAAUCGUGAAAAUGUGUUCGUUCCUAAUGUAAACUAGUGAUUCAAACCAAAAAUUGCAGCCAAUCAUGAUUUUUCUGUUCAUAAUCGUUCAAUAUCAUCAGAUAUUCAGAUCUUGUGCGGUUAUUUCCUGAAAUUUUAACUCAAUGGAAUCAAUCAAUCAAGUAACCUUCUGUAAUCUCGCAAUAUUUUGUAAACACAUGUAUGUUUUCCCUAAUCGAUUACUUAGGCAAUUAAUUUUGCCCUAGUUUUUAGAUCAGUUUCUUAAAUCUCUCAUCUCCUUUUAUCCUAGAUUUCUCUAUUUCGUUCCCCCCACACUACCACCAUUGGAAGAUCAAUUGGAAGUAUAAUCGACACUCUAACAAAUAGGUGCACUCUCUCUUUACUUUCUCAUGGUCGAGUUGGUAGCAAUCGGAGACGUGUUCGACCCUCCGUCUUCAUUUUGGUUUGUGGCUAACAAACAUAUAACCAGACAUCUCACUUUUUGAAGCUCAAAUGUUCAUUGACUCAUGAGCCAAUUCUGAUUUCUCGAUUGUUCAUAGUUAAGACUCGAAUUACAUGGAAUUCUAGAUGAAUGUUGUUGAUUGUUAAAGUUUAGUGAUCAUUGUCUUGUAUAUGGUUUACUGAUUUCUUGAUUUUGGUCUUAAGUUUGAUUUGGGAUUUCAUUGGUUUCUCGAUUUUGACUUAAGCUCUAGUUUCUUUUCUAAUUUCUUAAUUAAGUUCUAGUUGUUAUUUUGCUGAUUUUCUAGAAUUCUUGAUUUCUAGCGUUUUUUUUCUUGGUUGCAGAACUGAAUUCUUGUUUUCUAUUGUUUAAGUUUUGGUGAAGCUAAAUUUUU
RNAcentral lists this long non-coding RNA (963 nucleotides) under Lactuca sativa (garden lettuce). Its description in RNAcentral is "long non-coding RNA (LSAT_LNC002126)". Lineage: Eukaryota; Viridiplantae; Streptophyta; Magnoliopsida; Asterales; Asteraceae. The record is from RNAcentral.